CGGGAGGAGAGCGAGCCCCGGCGCGAGGGCAGCCCGCGGCCGUCCAGCCGGAGAGGGAGGGCUCUCGGGGCGCAGCAAGUCCGAACGCCUCGCUGAACGCCCUUCCCUCCUGGGACGAACCUCGGCUGCUCCCGGCGCCUGCAUCCGCGAGUCCCACGCCCCCCUCCGGACUUCCCCAAAGAGCAACCCCGCAGCUCGGAGCAAGGCGGCGAAGGCGCUGUCUCCCCACCGCCGGGCGCUCUCCGGGACCCCGGGAGGGAUGCGCAGACCACCUGGCGUCAGGGAGAGGCACGGGAACAGUUGAGAGCGCCGAUUCCUAACCGGAAGCAUUGAACAUGUGCACUUGAGCAUGCCCUAGUGAGCCAGGGGCAGAGAAAGAAUCUUCAAGCAGACUGCUGGUUCUGGAGGCCAGAAGUCCAAAGGUAGCAGAAGAGCUGUGCUCCCUCUGAAGUCUCUGGAGUAGAAUUCUUCCUUGCUUCUUCCAGCAUCUGGUAACCCAUGCAUUCCUGAACUUGUGACAGCCUAACUCCAAUCUCUGUCCCUGUCUUCAUAUGGCCCUCUUCACCCUGUGUCCAGAUUUUCCACUUCACAGAAGGACACCAGUCAUUUUCCAAACAUGUAUUGUGUUCUUCAGUGGAAUGAGAAAUAAGUUAAUUUUUUGCCCUCAAAGAACUUAUAGUCUGAGAUUGUCCUUGAUUUAAAGUGACUUUCUCAACAAGGCAGUGCAAGAAGGGAUGCGAGGCUGUGUGUAUGAUUAAGGCUAUCUGCAAAAUUCAGCCUUGUUGGAUUGAGUAUGAGUGUGAGGAGCUGAAUCGGGGUAUCAGAUCUCUGGAGGUGGAAUGGGGCAAGAACCGUGUUUGUCUUGUUCAUUGUUUCAUCCUCAGCACCCAAAUACAGCCAGCCUCUGCCACAUAACAUAAGGAGAAUAAUAACAGUGGUGAUAAUAAUAAUAAAAUAUAACCAACA
Canis lupus familiaris (dog) is the source of this 966-nucleotide long non-coding RNA. RefSeq lists it as uncharacterized. The record is from RefSeq and is a predicted model, not a curated record. Lineage: Eukaryota; Metazoa; Chordata; Mammalia; Carnivora; Canidae. The transcript has 3 exons.